Molecule: RNA transcript, 4901 nt
Organism: Oncorhynchus keta (chum salmon)
Lineage: Eukaryota; Metazoa; Chordata; Actinopteri; Salmoniformes; Salmonidae
Gene name: leucine-rich repeat transmembrane neuronal protein 4-like
Exons: 3
Source: RefSeq, a predicted model, not a curated record
CGCAAUCACGGCCGCACGCUCGCAUCAGGCUGCACACAACAAUGCCAGCCCUGAUUUCUCUGCUCUCCCUCAGAAUUCGACGAUUUAUCUGGAUGUUUGUGGCAAGACAGCUAUGAGGGCAUCGACAAAAGCUGUUGUUAUUCUUUUAGCAAAAUGUAGAGAGUUUUAUUUAAACUUUUCAUCCUACCUUUAGCAUUAUCGUUAUUUUGUGUAUUGCUGCUGUGGGUAAAACCACAUCCGAACAAAAAUAUGAGUUCAGUGCGUCGGUAAUAAAAAGGUAUUUAGUCUACGUCGAAAAUAACCUAGAUUCAUGCCUAACUUGGACGAAAUUCUGAAUAUGACUGAAAGUUAACAAAUCGUGGAUAGCCUAUAGUCAUGGGGGUACACUUUAAUUUGGGGUAUAUAAACUAAUAACGUUUAGAUUAAUCGUUUAACAUGAGAGCAGGUGAGCCAGUCUUCGUGUUUGUCUAGCGAGGGGCUGCGCGCAUUUCCCGCGGAAAGAACGAAGCGGAGUGUUGGAGAACAGUGGAGAACUGCGAAGUGAUCUGUGCUGGGGAUUACGCCUCCCAACACCGCAGACAAGCCAGAGGCGCCGAUAUGGGUUCCAGGCUAUGUGAUGGACGACCGGCGCACCUCAUCCUCCUCCUGCUCCUCGUCCUCCAGGCCAUGCUGCCGCUCUGCUCUGGUGAACGCACCUGCCCUCACAGCUGCCGUUGUGAGGGGAAGAUAGUCCACUGCGAGUCAGCUGGCUUCUUGGACGUCCCUGAGAACAUCUCAGUGGGCUGCCAGGGCCUCUCUCUUCGCUACAACGACCUGCACACGCUGCUCCCCUACCAGUUUGCCCACCUCAACCAGCUCCUCUGGCUCUACAUGGACCACAACCAGAUCUCUUCUCUAGACAGUCGGGUCUUCCAGGGGGUUCGCAGGCUUAAAGAGCUGAUCCUCAGCUCCAACAAGAUCUCUCAGCUCCACAACGCCACCUUCCACGGGGUGCCCAACCUCCGCAGCCUGGACCUGUCCUACAACAAGUUGCAGGUGCUUCAGCCGGGGCAGUUCCACGGCCUGAAGAAGCUGCAGAACCUGCACUUGCGCUCCAACGGCCUCACCAUAGUCCCCAUCCGGGCCUUCCUGGAAUGCCGCAGCCUGGAGUUUCUGGACCUGGGCUACAACCGACUCCGGGCCCUCACCAGGACCACCUUCCUGGGGUUACAGAGGCUCAUGGAGCUGCACCUGGAGCACAACCAGUUCUCCCGGAUCAACUUCUUUCUGUUUCCACGUCUUGCUAACUUGCGGGCGCUCUACCUGCAGUGGAACCGCAUCCGAGCAGUCAAUCAGGGCCUUCCCUGGACUUGGCACACACUGCAGAAACUGGAUCUGUCUGGCAAUGAGAUCCAGACCCUGGACCCUGCCGUGUUCCACUGCCUGCCUAACCUCCAGACCCUCAACCUGGAGUCCAACAAGCUGUCCAACGUGUCCCAGGAAGCAGUGUCUGCAUGGAUCUCCCUGAACUCUAUCAACCUUGCAGGUAACGUGUGGGACUGUGGGACAGGCAUCUGCCCCCUGGUGGCCUGGCUGAGGAACUUUCGUGGCACUAAAGACACGACCAUGAUAUGCAGCAGCCCAAAGCAGCUCCAGGGAGAGAAGAUCAUGGAGGCUACGAGGAACAAUGGAAUUUGUGAGGAAACUGAUUACUUCCAGACAGAAACCCCUUCACCAACCCCGGAUUUCAUUGAAACGACACCUGACCCAACCCCUGCCCCCACCAGCCCACUUCCACCCCUGCUUCCACCUACCACCCUGGCCCCGCUACCCCCACCUCGGCCUCAGUCCCCCCCCCGGCCUACUUUUCCCAGCCGGGUAAGGAUUGACCCCAGAGACUCCCCUCCCCGGGCUCCGCCCUCCCUCCGCAGCCUGGUGGUGACUCAGCCUCCAGAGCUGGAGCACAUGUCCUUCCACAAGGUGGUGGUGGGCAGCGUAGCACUCUUCUUUACCAUGUCACUCAUCCUGACCGUCAUCUACGUGUUAUGGAGGCGCUACCCGAAUGCGGCACGGCUCCUGCAGCAGCGCUCCGUGGUGGGCCGCAAGCGGCGGAGAAAGAGCCCGGAGCCUGAGCAGAACCUGAGCUCCCAGCUGCAGGAGUAUUACAUGAGCUACAAUCCAGCCGCCACCCCGGAUGGCUUGGAGGUACUGGGCAACGGGACUGGCUCCUGCACCUGCACCAUCUCCGGCUCCAGGGAAUGCGAGGUAUGACCCAUCGCAUCAGCCUUUAAAAACAAAACCCAAAAAGCAAAAACACAAAGGCUCAAGAGAGAGAGAGUGAAUACAUAUGUCCCCGUCCACUACCUGGAGCUUGGCUUGGAGACGUACCCGCCAUUCACUAGGAGACAUGUACAUUUUACCAGCCAGUUGCUAACAAGCAGAGGAAUCAGGGCCUACAACACUAUGGCUACCCCAUCACUGUCUGUCCUGACAGUAUGGUGGCACUCUCUAAACAUCUGCUACAGACAUAUGUCAAACUAUACCUCAACAGGCCCAUGGACAACGUCAUUUGGAAACAAGAAUGGCUUUCAUGAUUUCUACCACUCUGAAUAUUUAUGUUUUCUUUUACAAGGUCUAUACACUCUUCCUGUAUCUUAGUUUCUCAGCUGCCCUACAGCCGUGUUCAUCCAACAAUGACUAAGGUUGCUGUUAAAGCAUUGGCCAUGUUAACUCUUUGAUUGGCCAAUUAGGCUGGUCCAGAUUGAGGGGGUUUGGAACACUUGACGUCUGCAGCACCUCUCUGACCGUUGGCAUGGAAACUUGGGACUCUGAUGGGCAGUCUGUGCCACGAUGGGCGAUGUCACUCUGCUGGAGGCUGGCGGAGUGAAAAUGGGCCGUGGAGAAUAUGGACCAACCACAGCCCAGCAACGAUUUGAUGAUGUGCACUGAACAAGUAGCUCUGACUGCCUAGCAAAAUUCUAAUGUGCAAACUGCUGUGUGUAAUUUAAAAUACAUGUCCAUGGUUUUUCUUUGCUGUUGAACAACCCAUUAUUUGCAGCUGUGGUUUCGAAAAAGAUUCAUAUUUUCUAUUCUGCCAAGAUGGCUUUAAAACAAUCUACGCUCUCGGCUCAGAAGUGUUCAUGUGGAUUUUGUUUGCUUUAUAAGUUUACAGCGUGUACCUGUCUGUUGAGUAAUAUUUGAGUAAAGCUCUCAUUGUUCAUUUAGUCCCCUGGGGAGAGCUGCAUUCAAUAGCUGGAGGUACUUUUCUGAGAAGUCUGAGGAUCUAGCCAGGAGAACAGCUGAUCUUCCUGCCAAUCACACCUGGUGGUGGAGGAACUCAAUCUAUUCCCAGUCACACAGACAACUGUAAUUACACAUCUUGGCUCAGGACAGGAAGAAAAAAAAAAUUAAACUGAGACUCAAACUUCUCAACUGUAUAUGAUUAUUUACAGUAUUAUUUGUUGCUACCAUCUCUCUCUGACACCAAAGGCCUUUAGUGGUGGGUGUUUUGGAUCUCUCUGUCUCGUGGGCACUGGGGAGAACUCCAGCUUUGGUGGUUCUGUCUCAUUAAAAGGACCAGAGGAUUUCACAGCAGAACCAUUUCAAAGAGUUGGCUCGGGGAUAUUCUCACUGAUAUGAGACUAGUGCCAUAGGGUGAGAGCACUAUAGAGAUGGAUGUUCUGUAUCAGCCAUUUUAUCUGUGUGCGUGUAUGUUGAAUGAUGAUGAACGUUCCAGAGAGGUUUCCUUCAAUUUCUCUGGAAUCUUUGAAGAUGGAUGAAGCCUCAACGUUCUUAUAGUACUACCAUGCUCUUCUGCCAAAUCAACAUGCAUGUCUGUGUGGGUGGGUGUAUGUGUGUGUGUCUAGCGUGUCUGACUUCAUUCAUGAGUGUGCUUGCAAUGCUUGACAGUGGUUUUGAACCAGAGAUUAUGUAUGUGUGUCACAAAUACGGUUCAUGCCACUGCUAACAAAUUAUAUGAGUAACGCUGAAUACAUGCUGUGUCUACAUCAAAAUCUCCUUAAAAGGAUAUGUCAAAUCCCCUUGAAACGGAUGUCUGGAAUUUGUGUGUGUGUGGGUGAGUAGGUGGGGGUGUGUGUGUGUGUGUGUGUGUGUGUGUGUGUGUGUGUGUGUGUGUGUGUGUGUGUGUGUGUGUGUGUGUGUGUGUGUGUGUGUGUGUGUGUGUGUGUGUGUGUGUGUGUGUGUGUGUGUGUGUGUGUGUGUGUGUGUGUGUGUGUCUGUGUGUGUGUGUGUGUGUGGGUGAGUGAGUAGGUUGUGUGGACAAGUGGGGACAUUUUGCAGGUCCCCAAAAGGAAAAAUGCUAUUUUAGGCUUAGGGGUUAGGUUUAGGGUUAAAAUUAAUGUUAGGAUUAGGGUUAGAAUUAGGUGUUAGGAUUAGCAGUUAGGUUUAGGUUUUAGGUUUAGAGGUUAAGGUUAGGUUUAGGGUUAAAGGUUAGGGAAAAUAGGAUUUUGAAUGGGAAUACAGUUUUCGUGUGUGUGUGCGUGCGUGUGCGUGUGUGUGUGUGUGUGGAGAGAGGAUUGGGGACUCAUAUUCACUGCUUUCUUCAUUAGUGUUCAAAUGGGGUUGAGCUCGGAGGCAUUUGGCAUAUAUCAAAACAGUAUCAAUGGAUUUCUACAAUAAAAAGAGAACUAUUUUGUACUGUAUAUUUCUGCUUUCUCCCCAUUAAGGUAUUGAACAUUUUAUAAUUAACUGUAUUAUUUGUUCACUGAAAAAUGUUCUGUUUUAUAAUGUAAAUAAUAACUGAAUCAAUGGUGAGCAAUAAGAAUUGGUCAAAUAGAAAUGGUCAUUGUUCCUUUUUUUCUAGCAUACUUUAAUGGAAACCAUAUACAUUUGUUACAAAGCUGUUCUCAAGCAUAUGGAUUUUCAGGGUGUACACCAUUUAAUAAAAUCUAAGAAAACGUGAG